GGAGGAAAAGAAACUAACAAGGAUUCCCCUAGUAGCGGCGAGCGAAGCGGGAAGAGCUCAAAUUUAUAAUCUGGCACCUUCGGUGUCCGAGUUGUAAUCUCUAGAAAUGUUUUCCGCGUUGGACCGCACACAAGUCUGUUGGAAUACAGCGGCAUAGUGGUGAGACCCCCGUAUAUGGUGCGGACGCCCAGCGCUUUGUGAUACAUUUUCGAAGAGUCGAGUUGUUUGGGAAUGCAGCUCAAAUUGGGUGGUAAAUUCCAUCUAAAGCUAAAUAUUGGCGAGAGACCGAUAGCGAACAAGUACCGUGAGGGAAAGAUGAAAAGCACUUUGGAAAGAGAGUUAACAGUACGUGAAAUUGUUGGAAGGGAAACGCUUGAAGUCAGACUUGCUUGCCGAGCAAUCGGUUUGCAGGCCAGCAUCAGUUUUCCGGGAUGGAUAAUGGUAGAGAGAAGGUAGCAGUUUCGGCUGUGUUAUAGCUCUCUGCUGGAUACAUCUUGGGGGACUGAGGAACGCAGUGUGCCUUUGGCGGGGGUUUCGACCUCUUCACACUUAGGAUGCUGGUGGAAUGGCUUUAAACGACCCGUCUUGA
RNAcentral lists this ribosomal RNA (589 nucleotides) under Rhodotorula mucilaginosa. Its description in RNAcentral is "partial large subunit ribosomal RNA". It matches the Rfam family "Eukaryotic large subunit ribosomal RNA", at positions 52 to 657 of the family's 3401-position model. Lineage: Eukaryota; Fungi; Basidiomycota; Microbotryomycetes; Sporidiobolales; Sporidiobolaceae. The record is from RNAcentral.